GCCGGCGUGGCUCAAUGGAUAGAGCGUUGGCCUGCAGACUGAAGAUUGCAGGUUCAAUUCCCGUCAAGGGCA
This is a non-coding RNA of Myotis davidii, 72 nucleotides long. Lineage: Eukaryota; Metazoa; Chordata; Mammalia; Chiroptera; Vespertilionidae. The record is from Rfam.